GGGUCGGUAGCUCAGUCGGUAGAGCACUGGACUUUUAAUCCAUUGGUCGUGAGUUCGAGCCUCACCCGACCCA
This is a transfer RNA of 73 nucleotides. It matches the Rfam family "tRNA". From Rfam's summary of the family: Transfer RNA (tRNA) molecules are approximately 80 nucleotides in length. Their secondary structure includes four short double-helical elements and three loops (D, anti-codon, and T loops).